UUACACAUUACCAACUCCUGCUGCA
RNAcentral lists this non-coding RNA (25 nucleotides) under Mus musculus (house mouse). Lineage: Eukaryota; Metazoa; Chordata; Mammalia; Rodentia; Muridae. The record is from RNAcentral.